This 2154-nucleotide ribosomal RNA is filed under the name Salmonella enterica subsp. enterica. Its description in RNAcentral is "partial 23S ribosomal RNA". It matches the Rfam family "Bacterial large subunit ribosomal RNA", at positions 667 to 2802 of the family's 2925-position model. RNAcentral also lists the same sequence under 1 other name. The record is from RNAcentral. Lineage: Bacteria; Pseudomonadati; Pseudomonadota; Gammaproteobacteria; Enterobacterales; Enterobacteriaceae.
CGGAGGGAAACCGAGUCUUAAUUGGGCGUUAAGUUGCAGGGUAUAGACCCGAAACCCGGUGAUCUAGCCAUGGGCAGGUUGAAGGUUGGGUAACACUAACUGGAGGACCGAACCGACUAAUGUUGAAAAAUUAGCGGAUGACCUGUGGCUGGGGGUGAAAGGCCAAUCAAACCGGGAGAUAGCUGGUUCUCCCCGAAAGCUAUUUAGGUAGCGCCUCGUGAAUUCAUCUCCGGGGGUAGAGCACUGUUUCGGCUAGGGGGCCAUCCCGGCUUACCAACCCGAUGCAAACUGCGAAUACCGGAGAAUGUUAUCACGGGAGACACACGGCGGGUGCUAACGUCCGUCGUGAAGAGGGAAACAACCCAGACCGCCAGCUAAGGUCCCAAAGUCAUGGUUAAGUGGGAAACGAUGUGGGAAGGCCCAGACAGCCAGGAUGUUGGCUUAGAAGCAGCCAUCAUUUAAAGAAAGCGUAAUAGCUCACUGGUCGAGUCGGCCUGCGCGGAAGAUGUAACGGGGCUAAACCAUGCACCGAAGCUGCGGCAGCGACACUGUGUGUUGUUGGGUAGGGGAGCGUUCUGUAAGCCUGUGAAGGUGUGUCGUGAGGCAUGCUGGAGGUAUCAGAAGUGCGAAUGCUGACAUAAGUAACGAUAAAGCGGGUGAAAAGCCCGCUCGCCGGAAGACCAAGGGUUCCUGUCCAACGUUAAUCGGGGCAGGGUGAGUCGACCCCUAAGGCGAGGCCGAAAGGCGUAGUCGAUGGGAAACGGGUUAAUAUUCCCGUACUUGGUGUUACUGCGAAGGGGGGACGGAGAAGGCUAUGUUGGCCGGGCGACGGUUGUCCCGGUUUAAGCGUGUAGGUGUGUGUUCCAGGUAAAUCCGGUUCACUUUAACACUGAGGCGUGACGACGAGGCACUACGGUGCUGAAGCAACAAAUGCCCUGCUUCCAGGAAAAGCCUCUAAGCAUCAGGUAACAUCAAAUCGUACCCCAAACCGACACAGGUGGUCAGGUAGAGAAUACCAAGGCGCUUGAGAGAACUCGGGUGAAGGAACUAGGCAAAAUGGUGCCGUAACUUCGGGAGAAGGCACGCUGACACGUAGGUGAAGUGAUUUACUCAUGGAGCUGAAGUCAGUCGAAGAUACCAGCUGGCUGCAACUGUUUAUUAAAAACACAGCACUGUGCAAACACGAAAGUGGACGUAUACGGUGUGACGCCUGCCCGGUGCCGGAAGGUUAAUUGAUGGGGUCAGCGCAAGCGAAGCUCCUGAUCGAAGCCCCGGUAAACGGCGGCCGUAACUAUAACGGUCCUAAGGUAGCGAAAUUCCUUGUCGGGUAAGUUCCGACCUGCACGAAUGGCGUAAUGAUGGCCAGGCUGUCUCCACCCGAGACUCAGUGAAAUUGAACUCGCUGUGAAGAUGCAGUGUACCCGCGGCAAGACGGAAAGACCCCGUGAACCUUUACUAUAGCUUGACACUGAACAUUGAGCCUUGAUGUGUAGGAUAGGUGGGAGGCUUUGAAGUGUGGACGCCAGUCUGCAUGGAGCCGACCUUGAAAUACCACCCUUUAAUGUUUGAUGUUCUAACGUGGACCCGUUACCCGGGUUGCGGACAGUGUCUGGUGGGUAGUUUGACUGGGGCGGUCUCCUCCUAAAGAGUAACGGAGGAGCACGAAGGUUGGCUAAUCCUGGUCGGACAUCAGGAGGUUAGUGCAAUGGCAUAAGCCAGCUUGACUGCGAGCGUGACGGCGCGAGCAGGUGCGAAAGCAGGUCAUAGUGAUCCGGUGGUUCUGAAUGGAAGGGCCAUCGCUCAACGGAUAAAAGGUACUCCGGGGAUAACAGGCUGAUACCGCCCAAGAGUUCAUAUCGACGGCGGUGUUUGGCACCUCGAUGUCGGCUCAUCACAUCCUGGGGCUGAAGUAGGUCCCAAGGGUAUGGCUGUUCGCCAUUUAAAGUGGUACGCGAGCUGGGUUUAGAACGUCGUGAGACAGUUCGGUCCCUAUCUGCCGUGGGCGCUGGAGAACUGAGGGGGGCUGCUCCUAGUACGAGAGGACCGGAGUGGACGCAUCACUGGUGUUCGGGUUGUCAUGCCAAUGGCACUGCCCGGUAGCUAAAUGCGGAAGAGAUAAGUGCUGAAAGCAUCUAAGCACGAAACUUGCCCCGA